GACAGUUGGAAUGUCUGAAAUUGUUUGUUUUUCUUUUUUUUUCUCGUCGACUUUUCCGCUGUUUUGUGUAUAUUUGCGCGACGACUGAAUUGUUUUCCAGCAGAUUUGUUUUUUGAAUUUUUCAUGGAAAAAAGUUGAUGGGAACAAUGUCAAACUCAUCCAAAAUUAGUGAUAAAUUCAAAGACAUAUGUCGUGUGUGUGCAAAAAAGUCAACAAAAACGAUAAGUUUGUUUGGUAUCAGAAAGAAAGGAUUAAUAUUAGCCGAAAUGCUAGCCAUUUGCACACACAUUAGGGUGGACAAGCAAACGGAUUGUCGACCAUCGAAUAUUUGUAGUCCAUGUUUAUCAAAUCUAGAAAUAGCGUUCGAUUUCUACAAUCUGGUGAAAUCCAGUGAAAAUAAUUUCCAAAAAAUGCUCGCUACCCAUAGUGUAAAUGACGAGGAAAAAAGUCAGGCAAUCGAAUUUUGUACACUGGAUGAUAACGAUUCGAUGGUUCAGAAACACUUGAAAGUUGAAUUUAGCGAAGGCAAUGCUGAGUUAAUAUCAAAUCAACAGCAACGAAUCGAACAGAAACGAAAACGAAGAUCAGCUCCGAAUGAAACGGUUGAACCGCAUCAAUUAGACGUAGAUAGCCAGCAGAUGCAGCAAGAAAUGCAUAAUAGAAAAAUGAACCGGUUAUUCGAGUGUUUCCUAUGCAAAGCUAAAUUGAAAUCAUACACAGAUACCCGAGUCCACUUGAAACGGCACUAUGAAGCAACGCCAUUCAAAUGCAAAAUCUGCGCAAUGAACUUUUCGGCGGUGCAAUACGAACGGCAUUUGUGUCGCGGACAAAGCGUUCAGUGUGUUUACUGUCUCGAAUCAUUUGAAACAACGAUUAAUCUGAUGGACCAUUUGGAAUGUCACAGGGAACAACAUAAUUUGCAUAAAUGUACCGAGUGUUCGAAACUGUUUCCAAUGCUCUGGCUACUUGAAUGCCAUCAAGUACAGCACAGACAAGUGGAAAAGCCAUACGUUUGCCAUAUUUGCUUUCGCGGAUUUCGGAUUAAUUUUGCACUGACCAAACACCUUUCUACACACUCCAAUGAGAGGCCGCACCUUUGUUCCACAUGCGGCAUGGGAUUCAAAACAAUGGGCACUCUCCGUUCUCAUGCCAUUCGACACUCUGGCUACAAACCGAUCGCCUGUUCGAAAUGUCCGAAGAGGUUCUUCAGCAAUGCCGAUCUCAGGAAGCACAUGGACGUUCACAGCGAUGCAAAAUACGUGUGCAAUUUGUGCGGAUCAUCACUCAGUUCGAAGCGGUCAUUGGAUGAGCAUAGAAAUAAAAUAUUUUACAUUAUUCACUACAGGGCAUCGUCACAGGAAAGCUGAGGAGCAAACAUGUGAUCUGUGCUCGAUGAAAUUCAGAACUAUUUACAAUCUAAAAAGACACCUAUUGACUCACACGGGCGAAAAACCUCAUAAAUGCAUGUACUGUGAGCGAGCGUUUGCACAAUCGGGCGACCUCAACAAGCACCUGAGACAGCACGUGGGGGAUAAAACAUAUCAAUGCAAUCUGUGUUUCAAAUCGUUCAGAUUACAAAUCGAACUGCGAAAACACUCGUAUGAACAUUUUCAAAAUGAAAACAAAAGCGAAACGCAUAUUCAAUAGACUUAAUAGCUUAGUGUCGUUCUAAUUUUAUUUGAAAAAACAAUUAAAAAAAAUAGUAACGUGUAAUAUGGAAUAAAUAUUAACUCAAUUUCCCCAUGGACGAUUGUCUUCUAAAUUGGUCCAAUCGGGAACUCGAUUCAA
Molecule: RNA transcript, 1788 nt
Organism: Sitodiplosis mosellana (orange wheat blossom midge)
Lineage: Eukaryota; Metazoa; Arthropoda; Insecta; Diptera; Cecidomyiidae
Gene name: zinc finger protein OZF-like
Exons: 5
Source: RefSeq, a predicted model, not a curated record